Molecule: long non-coding RNA, 1361 nt
Filed under: Vigna radiata
Lineage: Eukaryota; Viridiplantae; Streptophyta; Magnoliopsida; Fabales; Fabaceae
Description: long non-coding RNA (VRAD_LNC009071)
Source: RNAcentral
AAGAAAAUACCUAGAACUAAUGGAUAAAGCAACGAAUUAGGUGAAAAACUCAAAGAAUCAAACUAACUCUAAUCAAUACGAACAAAACAUAACCUAAAUUACCAAACAGAACCAGAUCAGUGAGUAAAAAAAUCACAUAUCUGUAUCAAUUGAGUUGUUAUUUUACAUUCCGUUCAUAAAAUGCCCACCUCGGUGUCUCGAGUUCUAAUUUAAAACUAAAAAAUGAAUAACAGUCAAAUGAUUUACCGAAUCAAAACAAACUCCGUUCAACUUCAUCAUUUUUAACCAAAUCUACAAACAACAAAUGACAGAAAGUAAAACAACAUGAAAAAUAGGUAUUUUUUAUUUAUUGAACUUCUAUAUCUAACUCGAGAAGACCUCUCGUGAAUUCACGCCGACCUCGGGGUCGUUUGUAGAAGUGUAGAUUUACAAGUUCAAUAAAUUUUCAAAUCAAAAUAUUCACAUAAGCACACGAUAAUAGAAAACAUUGAAAAGAAUAAAAUCACAUUAACACAAACACUCAACAGAAACAUCGCGAAUGGAAGUAGUAUUAACAAGGAACAAGGAACAAACGAAAAUGUACCGAACAGAAGCGAGCAAGAGCGCAAGAACUCGAGUUUACCGAAAAAUGCGAUGAAACCCUAGAAAUCGCGUUCGCUCUAUCUAUUCUAGAAAAACACAAACUCAAAAGUAUAUAGUGUAUCUCUGUAAAAGUCUGUGGAAGUUUGUGUUCCCAUUUACAUGACAAAAGCCCCUUUAUAUGGGGUUGAAAAGAAAAGAGAAAAGAAAGGGAAAAGAGGAAACUUGCUCGUGACGAUUUGAGGUUCUGAUCGGACGAUCUCCGUUUCGCUCUCUCGCGAUGUAUGCAUAUUGGCCCUCCAAUCAUCUUCAACCUCUGAUUUAAGCUCUCACACGUGCACUGUGAAGUAACUCGAGCUUAUUUCAUCUUCUCAUUUCUUCUUGCGUAAAGCCUUAGCUCCUCUCUAGAAUGACGUGCUCUUCCUCUUUCUUUUUUAGUUCGCACAAGCUCUAGAAAUUUUCUGCCUGAAUGUGUCGCGAAGGCAAAGACCCUGCAGCUGCUGCCAAGUCAUCCAAUACGCACAAAAACUGUGUCGUUCCACUUAACUCAGCUGUUGCGUUUUGAUUAAAUGAGCUCAGCCCACUUCAUUCUUCAAGCAACCCAAUAAUCUCCAAGCUUGGCAACAAUGCAAUCCAUGGUAGAAGCAAAACGGUGCCGUCAGAUUUAAACAAGAGCCUAGCCAGAGCUUUUCUGUAGUGGCAGCGUUCCAGUUGAAUUGGCAUCAGCGGCCCAAUUCAAUAGCGGCCCAAUUCAAUAGCGGCCCAGAUCAAGUGUGGUGCAU